RNAcentral lists this ribosomal RNA (464 nucleotides) under Vreelandella stevensii. RNAcentral describes it as "partial 16S ribosomal RNA". It matches the Rfam family "Bacterial small subunit ribosomal RNA", at positions 338 to 795 of the family's 1533-position model. The record is from RNAcentral. Lineage: Bacteria; Pseudomonadati; Pseudomonadota; Gammaproteobacteria; Oceanospirillales; Halomonadaceae.
CCUACGGUGUCAGCAGUGGGGAAUAUUGGACAAUGGGCGAAAGCCUGAUCCAGCCAUGCCGCGUGUGUGAAGAAGGCCUUCGGGUUGUAAAGCACUUUCAGUGGGGAAGAAAGCCUUGGGGCUAAUACCCUCGAGGAAGGACAUCACCCACAGAAGAAGCACCGGCUAACUCCGUGCCAGCAGCCGCGGUAAUACGGAGGGUGCGAGCGUUAAUCGGAAUUACUGGGCGUAAAGCGCGCGUAGGCGGUCUGAUAAGCCGGUUGUGAAAGCCCCGGGCUCAACCUGGGAACGGCAUCCGGAACUGUCAGGCUAGAGUGCAGGAGAGGAAGGUAGAAUUCCCGGUGUAGCGGUGAAAUGCGUAGAGAUCGGGAGGAAUACCAGUGGCGAAGGCGGCCUUCUGGACUGACACUGACGCUGAGGUGCGAAAGCGUGGGUAGCAAACAGGAUUAGAUACCCGUGUAGUC